Molecule: small RNA, 1294 nt
Filed under: Pan troglodytes (chimpanzee)
Lineage: Eukaryota; Metazoa; Chordata; Mammalia; Primates; Hominidae
Description: retained intron
Source: RNAcentral
GUCCUGUGGCCAGACCUAGGGCCGGAGGCCCCCUGACAUUUCAGGCCAUGUGGUUGGUGGGGAGGGCAGGGGUCUAAGUCUCUCUUCUGAGCCCUGGUGGGCCCCGUAGCUGCCAAGCCCUGCAGCCCCUGAGUCCCAUGGCUGGGCUGGGCUGGGCAGGGACGGGGGCACCGACGGUGGCUGUCCCGGCAGCUGGCCAGUUCCCACGGCUCAGCCUGCACUUCCACCUGCGGAGGAACCGCGGCGUGUACAUCAUCCAGUCCUACAUGCCCUCCGUCCUGCUGGUCGCCAUGUCCUGGGUCUCCUUCUGGAUCAGCCAGGCGGCGGUGCCCGCCAGAGUGUCUCUAGGCAUCACCACGGUGCUGACGAUGACCACGCUCAUGGUCAGUGCCCGCUCCUCCCUGCCGCGGGCGUCAGCCAUCAAGGCACUGGACGUCUACUUCUGGAUCUGCUAUGUCUUCGUGUUUGCCGCCCUGGUGGAGUACGCCUUUGCGCAUUUCAACGCCGACUACAGGAAGAAGCAGAAGGCCAAGGUCAAGGUCUCCAGGCCGAGGGCAGAGAUGGACGUGAGGAACGCCAUUGUCCUCUUCUCCCUCUCCGCUGCCGGCGUCACGCAGGAGCUGGCCAUCUCCCGCCGGCAGCGCCGCGUCCCGGGGAACCUGAUGGGCUCCUACAGGUCGGUGGGGGUGGAGACAGGGGAGACGAAGAAGGAGGGGGCGGCCCGCUCAGGAGGCCAGGGGGGCAUCCGUGCCCGGCUCAGGCCCAUCGACGCAGACACCAUUGACAUUUACGCCCGCGCUGUGUUCCCUGCGGCAUUUGCGGCUGUCAAUGUCAUCUACUGGGCGGCGUACGCCAUGUGAGCACCGGACUCAGGCCACCCUCGCUUGUCCUGGCGCCCGGCGGCGGCUGCCCAGAAACUUCCUGGGAGAAAGAGCCCUCGGGCUGCCUUCCCCUCUGCGUGUUUCGAAGUGGGAUGACAGUCGGCCACGGAAAACAAGAGGAAGCCUCGGCCUCCCUGAGCUCUGACCCCAGCCUCACCCGAAAGGCCAGCCUGGGGCUCUCCGGCAGGCAGCCCGAGACCUGCACAGAUGAAGGAGCAGAGGGUGUGACCGAGAGGCUGAGCCGGGCCGGGGUCUGGGCCCUUCAGGGAGCCGUGGAUUUUUAGGUUCAGAAAGUGAUCCUGGUUUCUAGGUCUUUGCUCUGCAGGAUCGGGAUCAGCGCGUGGGAGGAGGGGGAGUGGACAUCCAUCCGGUGAACAGUGAAGGCGUUUGUGAGGUCUUUCUGGUCCCAGCAU